AGAGCUCCCACAUCCCGUCAGGAUCGGCUGAGGCUGGAGGUGACCACACAAGCGAUGUGACUGAAGCCACGAGUUCAGCAAACGAAAUGAGCAGUCUGGCCAAUAGAGGAGAAGUGUCAGUGUGUGGCAGUGAAGAUCCCAAAGCAUCUAAGAAAGGGGGCCAAACCGGAAAGGAUUUGAGCUCCAACGACAGCUAAGCGAGCGGAGGAGAGGCCGAGAGUCCGGGAAACAGGGAGAGAAGAUCUCACACUGAGGAAAGGGAUCUUCCAGAGGAUGAUUACCUGUGUGCUGUACAAAUGGAAGGAUUAACAGGAGUCAAAAUUCGCAGACGGCAAUUCCUAAAGAAAAAUCUGAUAUGUGGCUGAUACAGAUCUUCCUUUUUUCUCAUCAGCCGCCGAAGUUAAUGAUUUUGAUUCUCACCUGGGCCCCCAGUGCAACUUUGUGUUUACUAGCACUGAGUUCCCUCAGAAAUACUGCAGAAUACUUCCCAAACUCCAUCCAGACAUAUCAACCACACAAUCAGCUUGUAGCAUAAAUGUAUCUUCACA
This is a long non-coding RNA of Callorhinchus milii (elephant shark), 548 nucleotides long. RefSeq lists it as uncharacterized. The record is from RefSeq and is a predicted model, not a curated record. The transcript has 3 exons. NCBI's taxonomy places the organism in Eukaryota, Metazoa, Chordata, Chondrichthyes, Chimaeriformes, Callorhinchidae.